Molecule: RNA transcript, 2835 nt
Organism: Setaria italica (foxtail millet)
Lineage: Eukaryota; Viridiplantae; Streptophyta; Magnoliopsida; Poales; Poaceae
Gene name: transcriptional corepressor LEUNIG_HOMOLOG
Exons: 17
Source: RefSeq, a predicted model, not a curated record
CAUCUCCUUCCUGCUGCUAGCCUGCUACCCCUCUCUCUCUCGUCUGCCCCCCUCCCAUCUAAAGCUUUCUAGCGAUUCCUGGCGUUCCUCUUCCGAUUCGCCUCCUCCGUUUGCGGCGGAUAGGAUUUGGAUUUUCGGAUCGACCGACGAAUCCAUCCAUGGCGCGGACCAACUGGGAGGCCGAUAAGAUGCUCGACGUCUACAUCUACGACUACCUGGUCAAGCGCAACCUUCAGGCCACCGCCAAGGCCUUCAUCGCCGAGGGCAAGGUCGCCACCGACCCCGUCGCCAUCGACGCCCCCGGCGGCUUCCUCUUUGAGUGGUGGUCCAUCUUCUGGGACAUCUUCCACUCCUCCACCGCAAAACCAGCCUCCUCCUCCGCCUCCGGUCCUCCCCUUCACGAUAUCAACAAGUCGAGGGAGCACCAGAUGAGGCUCCAGCUACUGCACCAACACAACGCCGCCCAACUCCACACCAGAGGACCUGACGUCUCCGCCGUCCUCGCUUCCAAAAUGAUGGAGGACCGCAUCAGGAACCCCAACCCGGCCGACUCUGACGCAUCACAGCAUCUCCUAGACGCAAAUAGGAUCGCACUUCUCAAGUCACCACCUAACCAAACUGGGCCACCCCCUAUGCAGCAGCAGCAGAUUCACCCAAGAAACCAGCAACUUGACAUCAAGCCCGAUGUUGCUAUGCCACAGAGAACAGUGCCAGCGGACCAUUCUUCAUUAUAUGCAUCAGGGAUGAUGCACCCAAAACCUCCAUUACUCGCCGCUGGACUAAAUCAAGCUGGAGGAAGUGUGCCGCUCAAAGGCUGGCCUCUAACGGUCACAGGUAUCGACCAACUCCGGUCCAAUUUUGGUGCGCAGAAGCAGUUGGUGCCAUCUUCAAACCAGUUCCAACUUUUGUCACCACAACAACAGUUGAUUGCUCAGGCACAAACACCGAAUGACCUUACUAGAAUGAGUUCUCCAGCACCAUCUGCUUCACCGAAUGUUCGAUCAGAUGAUCCGGAUUAUUUGAUGAAGUUGAAGAUGGCCCAGAUGCAGCAGCCCUCAGGCUACCGGCCUAUGGAAUUGCAACAGCCGCAACAACAGGUGGUGAAGAACAUCAAGUUUCUUUGUAGCCUCUUGUGGCAGAUACUAAACGAGUUUACCUAUUUUCUUGUCAUCCAGAACACUAGAAAGCGGAAGCCAACUUCUUCUGGAGCAGCUAAUAGUACUGGCACAGGAAAUACUGUUGGGCCUUCUCCUCCAUCAACUCCAUCCACUCAUACUCCAGGUGGUGGGGUACCAGUGACUAGCAAUGCUAAUAUUUUACAGAAGAGUUCAAUGAUUUGCGGCACGGAUGGAACCAGUGGACUUGCCUCGUCCUCAAAUCAGAUGGAUACUUUGGAUAGUUUUGUUGAUUUUGAUGAAAAUGUUGAUUCAUUCUUGUCGAAUGAUGAUGGAGACGGAAGAGACAUGUUUGCAGCAUUGAAAAAAGGGUCUUCAGAGCACAAUUCAGAGUCCUUAAAGGGUCUCUCCUUGAGUGAGGUAGGUAACAACCGCACAAGCAACAACAAGGUUGUUUGCUGUCACUUCUCUACAGAUGGAAAGUUAUUAGCUAGUGCUGGCCAUGAGAAGAAGGUCUUCCUCUGGAAUAUGGAUAAUUUUAAGAUGGAUACCAAAAUAGAAGACCACACAAACUUUAUCACAGACAUAAGGUUCAAAACUAAUUCCACUCAGUUGGCUACAUCAUCUUCUGAUGGAACUGUUCGACUUUGGAAUGCUGCUGAUGAAAGUGGCACUUUACAAACUUUUCAUGGGCAUACCUCUCAUGUAACGUCAGUAGAUUUUCACCCAAGAUUGACAGAGGUUCUUUGCUCUUGUGAUGACAAUGGAGAAAUUCGCUUCUGGAAAGUUGGUCAAACUACAUCGACCCAUGUUUUAAGGGCGAAGCAGGGUGGUACCGGAAGAGUCAGGUUUCAGCCACGAAGUGGGCAGCUCCUAGCUGUGGCAGGUGGAAGCAUGGUGAACAUUUUUGAUGUUGAAAAGCAGGCAAACUUACCCUCUCCAGCAAAGGGUCACAACAGUGAGGUAAACUGUGUGUGCUGGGAUGAAAGUGGUGAAUAUCUGGCUUCUGUAAGUCAAGACACUGUGAAAGUGUGGUCAGUAUCGUCAGGAGCGUGCAUUCAUCAGCUAAGAUCUCAUGGGAACCAAUAUCAGUCAUGCGUGUUCCACCCGAGAUACCCAAAAGUGUUGAUUGUUGGUGGUUAUCAGACGCUGGAGCUAUGGAGCUUAUCGGAUAACCAGAGGAACCCAAUCCAGGCGCACGAGGGGCUGGUAGCUGCUCUGGCACACUCCCCGUUCACGGGGAUGAUUGCCUCUGCCAGUCAUGACAGAUACGUGAAGCUCUGGAAGUAGCUAGAAACUAAAGGAGAGCUUGCAGACGAUGGGCCAUCCAAUGCAGGCGGCUUCGCACUCGUCGCGGCAGUUGCCCAGCGCCGCCCGCGGGGACGACGCCACCACAACCAACCACAGCAGCAGCGCCGCCGCCGCCGCCGGUGUCUUGGUACGCGCGCGGAGAGAGAGAGAGAGAUGACGACGUUGACAAGAUCGGAGGAGGAGAAGGACGACGCCCUAUGGCAUCCAUCUCCCCUGCUUUAUAUACAUGCAGACUCGAUGCAUGCAGCCACAAACUAAAAAGAAAAUAAUAACUGUACGGCAUGUUAUGCAUGCAGCCACAAACUAAAACAGACGGGACGGCAACGGUGGAGCUGCACCCUCGGGUGUGCUUGUGCUUCUCGUGUGUGUGUGUGUGUGUCUAUUUUUUUUUUUAAAAAAUUAUUUCAUA